RNAcentral lists this ribosomal RNA (1553 nucleotides) under uncultured marine crenarchaeote. RNAcentral's name for it is "partial 16S ribosomal RNA". Lineage: Archaea; Thermoproteati; Thermoproteota. The record is from RNAcentral.
AUUUCCGGUUGAUCCUGCCGGAUUGCCUUCACCUGCAAGGGGUCAACCGUGAACUCACGGGACGGCUGCCGUUCGCCUCGGUGUAUUUCGUCCAUCUGCUGAACACUUUCCAUCAGAUCAUCGAAAAAAUUGCUCAUGUCUCACCUCCACUGCUCAAUAGCUGUCAUCAUCAAGCAAGGCGCUCAGGCGCUUGGUAAAUACCGGGGUUUCGAUAAAUAUCAUAGGCAAAGUGUACGCCAGCGGCGUAUGUAAUCAACUGUCACAGUCUCAAGCCCACACAAACCGAUUCGAAAAAACGAACGAGCCCGGAAAAGAUAAAAUAACCAAUUAAAUCAAAUAGUUGCGGAACUAUACGGACUCGUGUCAGUCUAUUGUAGUGAACAUGCUAGACUGGACUGGAAGCCCGUAGCGGCUGCAAGGCAAAACAGGAUAGCGACACAGAACUUUGGAGGUGGAUCAUGAGCGAUUCGUUGGGUAGCAGCUUCUAUGCAGGACUGGCAGGGCGGAAUGCGGACCAGGCAAAUGCCAAUCUGCGGGCGGCGAAUGCGGCGGUGGAUCGUGGCGAUCGGAAUGCGCGGAUUGCCAAAGAGUGGAUGGAAACAUCCCGCCGAAACAAAGCGAUUGCAGACGACUGGAUGAACUACGCUCGCGACUUGGAAGGCAAGGUCAAGAAAUGGCAGGCCGAUGCGGUGGAGAGUGGGGCGGCAGCACGCGCAGCGAUCGAAGUCACUCGUAUGCAGAACAACGGGGCUGGACCUCGUACUGUGAUGGGUGCCGAGCAGUACGAUAGCUUAAAAGCCCAGAAGGUCGAUGAGGUAUGCCAGGAGUGGCAGAUCGAAAACCCGUUCAAAGGGUGAGAUAUUCCAAGCACAAAAAAGGCCCCAAAUUUGGGGCCUUUUCGUUACUGGAGGGUCAGUCCUCCGAUCGUUUCGGAGUUUCACGCCCCUCGCUUUCCGAGGCACCGUUCGCGUCACCGCCUGAGCGGCCCUGAGAGCCCCCUCCGUUCACGCCAGAGGACUUGCCGCUAUCGACGUUACCCUUCACCGCAUCGCCCGGAGACGCGGCAUCAGAAGCGCCUGAGCGGCCACCGGCUUCGGAACCGCCUGCCGGCGUGGCGUCUUCACCUUUAUCCUUUUUGGCAGGAUCAUCUUCACCAUCACCCUUCGGCUUGGGCGUACCAGCACCGCCACCGCCGCCUUUGGCCAUCGCGGCGUUGGUACCCUGACCCACGUAGCCGGCAGCACCGGCAUAGGUGCGGGACACCGUUGAUUCGCCUUGAGCUUCGCCCAGCGGUUUGGUGUUGGAGCCUACCCAGCGCAUCACGUUGUCCGCCGUUUCGUAAAUCAUUUCGUGCGAUUUGUGCGACAACGCCACGAUGAGGCCGAUCAGGAUGAUGUUGCCGAACACGAAGGCAAAGAAGCCCGUGGUGGUACCGACGGAUAGCGCCACCGAGGAGUGAUACAUCGUGUACCCGCUCAACGCCAGCUGCGAGAUGAAGUACAUCAUCAGCAUGGAGAAGAACAAACCCAGUACCGGCAGGAUCAACCGGAAAU